Molecule: long non-coding RNA, 726 nt
Organism: Daktulosphaira vitifoliae (grape phylloxera)
Lineage: Eukaryota; Metazoa; Arthropoda; Insecta; Hemiptera; Phylloxeridae
Exons: 4
Source: RefSeq, a predicted model, not a curated record
UUUUUUUUUUUUUAAUUUUUAUUAAAAUUUUUAUUUGAAAUUACCUUAUCUUAAGAGAUCACGACACCAUUUACGCUUCAGACGUCAGGGGGGAUUACCAGGUUAAUUUUAAUGUUACAACAUUAAAAAUCUACUAUUUAUAAAUAGUAUAUGUGUAAUGUAUAGUUAGUUCAAACUGAAUAAUUUGUGUAUAAAGUCAUCAUUUGUUUUACAUUAGGUACAUACGAUAUCAAUUUAAUCAAACCAGCUUAAUCAAGCAGUUCAUCCAAUACUUCACAAAAGAAUCAUUCUGGUAUACUAAAUUACAAUUGGAGUAGUCCUUGGAAAUAGCAGUACAAAAUACUAUUGAAAAAAUUUGACCCAUAGAGAAUAAAUCAAGAGUGGAAGCUGAAGAUUUUUAUUCUUUAAUUCCUUUCAUUAAUGAUGAACAAUUAACUUUUUUUGAAGAAAAACUGUUAAAUAGAACUUAUAGGUAAAUGAAUUCAAGAGAUUACAAAAAAAAGUUGAAUUCUACUGUGUUUGGUCCGUUUGAUAUCACUUUUUUGUGACAUUGUAUUACAACAAUACAGCUAUGUAGGCCAAAAGGGGAAGAAAGAUGUGUAUAUGAUGUAUAUAUAAGAUGUGAAACAAUAAGAAAAGUUAAUAAAUUUACUAAUUUCACUAACAGGGAAAUUGAAGAACCUUUGAAAAUUUAUUUGGCUGGUUCUAGUUUCAGGUUAAUUAGUG